GCUUACGGCCAUACCACCCUGAAAAUGCCCGAUCUCGUCUGAUCUCGGAAACAAACCACGAUCGGGCCUGGUCAGUACUUGGAUGGGAGACCGCCUGGGAAUACCAGGUGCUGUAAGCU
Molecule: ribosomal RNA, 119 nt
Organism: Sphaeramia orbicularis (orbiculate cardinalfish)
Lineage: Eukaryota; Metazoa; Chordata; Actinopteri; Kurtiformes; Apogonidae
Source: Ensembl